AGAACGAACGCUGGCGGCAGGCCUAACACAUGCAAGUCGAACGCCCGUAGCAAUACGGGAGUGGCAGACGGGUGAGUAACGCGUGGGAACGUGCCCUUCGGUUCGGAAUAACUCAGGGAAACUUGAGCUAAUACCGGAUACGUCCGUAAGGAGAAAGAUUUAUCGCCGAAGGAUCGGCCCGCGUCGGAUUAGCUAGUUGGUGAGGUAACGGCCCACCAAGGCGACGAUCCGUAGCUGGUCUGAGAGGAUGAUCAGCCACACUGGGACUGAGACACGGCCCAGACUCCUACGGGAGGCAGCAGUGGGGAAUAUUGGACAAUGGGCGCAAGCCUGAUCCAGCCAUGCCGCGUGAGUGAAGAAGGCCUUAGGGUUGUAAAGCUCUUUCAGCGGGGAAGAUAAUGACGGUACCCGCAGAAGAAGCCCGGCUAACUUCGUGCCAGCAGCCGC
RNAcentral lists this ribosomal RNA (447 nucleotides) under uncultured bacterium. RNAcentral's name for it is "SSU rRNA". It matches the Rfam family "Bacterial small subunit ribosomal RNA", at positions 26 to 518 of the family's 1533-position model. The record is from RNAcentral.